CCUGCCCCAAAUAUGGAUCCACCAACUUCAUCACCACAUCAUAACCAAGACCAUUACCCGAUGGUUCUUAAUGCUCCAACUUACCUAUAUAAACAUUGAAAUCGAAAGUAAACCCAUUCAAACUAUCUGCCAACACCCAGAGUUUUAUCGCUCACUUUGUAGGCUUAUUUUUCAUGUAUUGCCUAAUGCCCGACCUAUGUUUAGACUUGACCAUACGCUCAUCCACAGCAAUAUUCUGGCUCGGUUGGUAUGACAUACGGCAACGCCCUUUGAAUGCCGCAAGAAAUUCCUCAAUCUUGCGCAGUUUAUCGCCAGGCUGCUCGACGGCGGGAUCUACCACAUGCAAGAAUGCCAUAAGGGCUUUAUAACGGGUACGGGAAAGUAUCUUCCUUGCCCAGAGACCGUGGUAAAGGGUCUUUGUGCUCCAAUACUUUUCAACGGCUGAGUCCACACGUACCAGAUCAAAAUAAAUCAAAAGAGCAAUCAAAUUAUUUAUUUCAUCAUCAGUCAUUUCUUUCCAAGCCCCCUCCAAAGUGUUGUAUGUAGUAUACCCCCCAGCUACAAGUUUCAUGUAUGCGUAGCUGUUGGUGUGGGCAACAACUGAUCUUAUCAUCUCGGAGGUGAAGAAGAGACGAAAAAACUCUAACGCAGUUGUCAUACCUCUCCGCAAGACUUGCCUACCAAAAUGAAUUCCCUGCGGACGGUUUGGUUGAAAGGGAGGGAGGUCAUUCCUAGUGUCCGCAUCAUCAUACGACUUACUACGUACUAGUAUUGGGAGUACCACCAGCGCUGGCCCUUCCCCUUCCAGCCCUGGCCCUUUCCCUUCCAGCCCUGGCCCUUCCAGCCCUGGCCCUUCCAGCCCUGGCCCUUCCAGCCCUGGCCCUUCCCCUUCCAGCCCUGGCCCUGCCACU
This is a non-coding RNA of Paramuricea clavata, 911 nucleotides long. The record is from the annotation of a GenBank genome assembly. Lineage: Eukaryota; Metazoa; Cnidaria; Anthozoa; Malacalcyonacea; Plexauridae.